This 642-nucleotide ribosomal RNA is filed under the name Serratia sp. (in: enterobacteria). RNAcentral describes it as "bacterial SSU rRNA". It matches the Rfam family "Bacterial small subunit ribosomal RNA", at positions 77 to 712 of the family's 1533-position model. The record is from RNAcentral. Lineage: Bacteria; Pseudomonadati; Pseudomonadota; Gammaproteobacteria; Enterobacterales; Yersiniaceae.
AGCUUGCUCCCYGGGUGACGAGCGGCGGACGGGUGAGUAAUGUCUGGGAAACUGCCUGAUGGAGGGGGAUAACUACUGGAAACGGUAGCUAAUACCGCAUAACGUCGCAAGACCAAAGAGGGGGACCUUCGGGCCUCUUGCCAUCAGAUGUGCCCAGAUGGGAUUAGCUAGUAGGUGGGGUAAUGGCUCACCUAGGCGACGAUCCCUAGCUGGUCUGAGAGGAUGACCAGCCACACUGGAACUGAGACACGGUCCAGACUCCUACGGGAGGCAGCAGUGGGGAAUAUUGCACAAUGGGCGCAAGCCUGAUGCAGCCAUGCCGCGUGUGUGAAGAAGGCCUUCGGGUUGUAAAGCACUUUCAGCGAGGAGGAAGGUGGUGAACUUAAUACGUUCAUCAAUUGACGUUACUCGCAGAAGAAGCACCGGCUAACUCCGUGCCAGCAGCCGCGGUAAUACGGAGGGUGCAAGCGUUAAUCGGAAUUACUGGGCGUAAAGCGCACGCAGGCGGUUUGUUAAGUCAGAUGUGAAAUCCCCGGGCUCAACCUGGGAACUGCAUUUGAAACUGGCAAGCUAGAGUCUCGUAGAGGGGGGUAGAAUUCCAGGUGUAGCGGUGAAAUGCGUAGAGAUCUGGAGGAAUACCGG